RNAcentral lists this long non-coding RNA (1255 nucleotides) under Callithrix jacchus (white-tufted-ear marmoset). RNAcentral's name for it is "lncRNA (ENSCJAG00000061188.2)". Lineage: Eukaryota; Metazoa; Chordata; Mammalia; Primates; Cebidae. The record is from RNAcentral.
GUCCAGCUCAGCCAAGGACUGAAGGGCACAUCUGCCUAAUUCAGGACUGGGGUAUUGGGAAGUCCACUUGGCCCCCGAUCUGUGACAUGUUCUCGAGUCCUGAGACUUGAGGACUCAGGUGUCUAAUUUCUCAGUUGGGCCACAUCUUGGGGUUAUUUGCGUGCCCCAGCUUUAACAGUAAGAUUUCCAAGCACUGAUUUCUUCUUAAGCAAUUUCUGAAGGUAAAAUUUUGGUUAAGAGCACUCUUUUCUUCCUGCUACCGUUAAUUGGGUGUUUAUUUUGUGUCAGGCACUGUUCAGUAUUUUACAUUUCUUAGCUGGUUUGAUCUUUACAGCAACUUUAUAUGACAGACAUUGUUUCCCCAUUUUUCAGGCUAGAAAUCUGAGGCCCAGUGUCCCACAGUGGUCCUGUAGUGGCACUAGGCUUAGAGCACAGAUUGUUGACUUCCAAAGCCGAUGUUCUUGACCAUUGCACCACUCUGCGUUGUGACAGUGCCAAACAUGCUUUCAUUCAUAUAUAUUUUUUAACUGAUCAUGUUCUUGUGUAAUUUCUUUCAGAAAGGCUUUUACAUCAAAUAUUGAUAAUGGUAAUAAUAAUUAACACAUGUUAAGAACUUACCAGGUUUCAAGCACUGCUCUAGAGCUUUCCAUGAAAGAACCCCUCUAAUCUGUGAGAACCGGCUGAAGUUUACUUUUUGGUACUCCAGAGACCUAGCUUCUUCUUGCCUUCUUCCAGUGUGGUCUAUUUAAUCUCCUGUCGUGUGGGAAAUUAUGUUCAAAAUCUCCGUGAUCCUCUGUCCAUAGACUUGUCUAUUGAGAAACAGCAACGCUGGCAACCAUUUACUACCAACAAGAGGCAGUUCCAAGAGAAGAAUAUAAAAUAUGCUCUGCUCAACCCCACGAAACUCAGAGUGUCUCACAAUGGCCAAUUUAUUAUUUUUACCCUGUCCAGUGACAUGGAAGGAUGCAUCAGGGAGCUGCUAGCCUCUGCGAUGAAUAACUUAAGUCAGGCUGCAACAUGUGAAAUAAUUCAGCUGACCAGGAUUUAUAACACUAGCUGGAUUUUUUGCUUUCUUUGGGGUUCAUGAAGCAUGGUGUUGUGAGAUACCACAGGAGUCCUGGAGUGAAGUUACAUGCCUAUUUCUCUUCCUUUAUUUUUUGGUAUUUUCAUAUUAUUUUAUUGCCUACUCCAAAUGUCUUCCUAAGCAGGGUCCAGCCUCCUAGGGGACACGUCUCUUCUGAUUUUGAAAAUUAGA